UACGUAUGGUGCAAGCGUUAUCCGGAUUUACUGGGUGUAAAGGGUGCGUAGGUGGCAAGGCAAGUCUGAAGUGAAAAUCCGGGGCUCAACCUCGGAACUGCUUUGGAAACUGUUUAGCUAGAGUACAGGAGAGGUAAGUGGAAUUCCUAGUGUAGCGGUGAAAUGCGUAGAUAUUAGGAGGAACACCAGUGGCGAAGGCGACUUACUGGACUGCUACUGACACUGAGGCACGAAAGCGUGGGGAGCAAACAGG
RNAcentral lists this ribosomal RNA (253 nucleotides) under Coprococcus eutactus. RNAcentral's name for it is "partial 16S ribosomal RNA". It matches the Rfam family "Bacterial small subunit ribosomal RNA", at positions 524 to 776 of the family's 1533-position model. Lineage: Bacteria; Bacillati; Bacillota; Clostridia; Lachnospirales; Lachnospiraceae. The record is from RNAcentral.